RNAcentral lists this ribosomal RNA (919 nucleotides) under Montagnula puerensis. RNAcentral's name for it is "SSU rRNA". It matches the Rfam family "Eukaryotic small subunit ribosomal RNA", at positions 132 to 1060 of the family's 1831-position model. The record is from RNAcentral. Lineage: Eukaryota; Fungi; Ascomycota; Dothideomycetes; Pleosporales; Didymosphaeriaceae.
UUACUACUUGGAUAACCGUGGUAAUUCUAGAGCUAAUACAUGCUAAAAACCCCAACUUCGGGAGGGGUGUAUUUAUUAGAUAAAAAACCAAUGCCCUUCGGGGCUCCUUGGUGAUUCAUGAUAACUUCUCAGAUCGCAUAGCCUUGAGCUGGCGACGGUUCAUUCAAAUUUCUGCCCUAUCAACUUUCGAUGGUAAGGUAGUGGCUUACCAUGGUUGCAACGGGUAACGGGGAAUUAGGGUUCGAUUCCGGAGAGGGAGCCUGAGAAACGGCUACCACAUCCAAGGAAGGCAGCAGGCGCGCAAAUUACCCAAUUCCGAUACGGAGAGGUAGUGACAAUAAAUACUGAUACAGGGCUCUUUUGGGUCUUGUAAUUGGAAUGAGUACAAUUUAAACCUCUUAACGAGGAACAAUUGGAGGGCAAGUCUGGUGCCAGCAGCCGCGGUAAUUCCAGCUCCAAUAGCGUAUAUUAAAGUUGUUGCAGUUAAAAAGCUCGUAGUUGAACCUUUGGCCUGGCUGGCAGGUCCGCCUCACCGCGUGCACUUGUCCGGCCGGGCCUUUUCUUCUGGAGAACCGCAUGCCCUUCACUGGGUGUGUUGGGGACCAGGACUUUUACUUUGAAAAAAUUAGAGUGUUCAAAGCAGGCCUUUGCUCGAAUACGUUAGCAUGGAAUAAUAGAAUAGGACGUGCGGUCCUAUUUUGUUGGUUUCUAGGACCGCCGUAAUGAUUAAUAGGGACAGUCGGGGGCAUCAGUAUUCAAUUGUCAGAGGUGAAAUUCUUGGAUUUAUUGAAGACUAACUACUGCGAAAGCAUUUGCCAAGGAUGUUUUCAUUAAUCAGUGAACGAAAGUUAGGGGAUCGAAGACGAUCAGAUACCGUCGUAGUCUUAACCAUAAACUAUGCCGACUAGGGAUCGGGCGG